UGAAAUCUCGGGGCUCAACCUCGAAACUGCGUCUGAAACUGCAGGUCUAGAAUCUUGGAGGGGGAAGGGGAAUUUCGCAUGUAGGGGUAAAAUCCGUAGAUAUGCGAAGGAACACCAGGGGCGAAGGCGCCUUCCUGGACAAGUAUUGACGCUGAGGCGCGAAAGCGUGGGGAUCAAACAGGAUUAGAUACCCUGGUAGUCCACGCUGUAAACGAUGAAUACUAGGUAUUGGAGGAUUUGACCCCUCCAGUGCCGUAGCUAACGCGUUAAG
This 271-nucleotide ribosomal RNA is filed under the name uncultured Bacteriovorax sp. RNAcentral's name for it is "partial 16S ribosomal RNA". It matches the Rfam family "Bacterial small subunit ribosomal RNA", at positions 595 to 864 of the family's 1533-position model. Lineage: Bacteria; Pseudomonadati; Bdellovibrionota; Bacteriovoracia; Bacteriovoracales; Bacteriovoracaceae. The record is from RNAcentral.